Molecule: ribosomal RNA, 460 nt
Filed under: uncultured bacterium
Lineage: Bacteria
Description: partial 16S ribosomal RNA
Rfam family: Bacterial small subunit ribosomal RNA
Source: RNAcentral
CCUACGAGUGGCAGCAGUGAGGAAUAUUGGUCAAUGGGCGCGAGCCUGAACCAGCCAAGUAGCGUGAAGGAUGCCUGCCCUACGGGUUGUAAACUUCUUUUCUAAAGGAAUAACUUGAGGCACGUGUGCCUUUUUCUAUGUACUUUAUGCAUAAGGAUCGGCUAACUCCGUGCCAGCAGCCGCGGUAAUACGGAGUCUCCGAGUGUUAUCCGGAUGUAUUGGGUUUAAAGGGAGCGUAGAUGGGUUGUUAAGUCAGUUGUGAAAGUUUGCGGCUCAACCGUAAAAUUGCAAUUGAUACUGGCAGCCUUGAGUACAGUUGAGGUAGGCGGAAUUCGUGGUGUAGCGGUGAAAUGCUUAGAUAUCACGAAGAACGCCGAUUGCGAAGGCAGCCUACUAAACUGCAACUGACAUUGAUGCUCGAAAGUGUGGGUAUCAAACAGGAUUAGAUACCCCAGUAGUC